CGCUGGAAGUGGCUGUUUUCCUGCCCGGACAAGCGUUCGCAUUUUGCUUGUGACCUCAACCGGGGGAGCUUACUGAGCUCCUCGGAAAGGGGGCAGGAGUCCUGCUCACCUAUCGGACUAGCCUUUGCAUGGGUGCUUAGCCGCUUCUUGUGUUUUAACUCCAGGAUCAUUAACCUCCAGGUGAAGCUGUAAAUGAAUCGAACAAUUUCAGGGGAUACAAACUUCCAAGGGUUCUGAAAUGGAGACCUUUUGAGACCUAUUAUUCGUGCAACCUGUAUGUAUACAGCUGACCCACUGGAAUAGAAUGCAAUCCCAGAUUCUUCAUCUGUUAUCCUUCCUGACUCUAAUGACAGAAGGUUGCAGUGCUUUUGGACUAUUCCCCCUCCCUGGAGUGGAAGACACACUUUUGAGGAAGCCACCAGCAGCCUACUUCUCCAUUUCCUGUGGUGUGGGAUGUCAGUGGCAAACAUCUUUCCUGCUGUGAUCCAGGUUUCUUGCUGUGAGAUACUUUCUCAAAAACAGACUAUGGCUGAAGAUGACAUGGGGCCAUCUACAUUGAAUAGUUCUAUCUUGGAGAGACAGCGGGGGUGCUAUCAGCAGAACUAUUGACUUAACAACUCUCUGCUCAACAGCUGAUGGGGGGUUGGAGCAUGGAAAAUCCGUAAUGGAAGAAGACAAACAGAAAAAGGUGUUAGACUGCCUUUAAAGUAAUAUGCUCUAAAAGGAAGAGACAGUCAAUCAUCAGAAGUAUAAGACACAGCUGAAGGAGUUUGUUUUGUAUAUUUUUGUAACUUGCUUGUACUGUCGA
Molecule: long non-coding RNA, 808 nt
Organism: Dermochelys coriacea (leatherback sea turtle)
Lineage: Eukaryota; Metazoa; Chordata; Testudines; Dermochelyidae
Exons: 4
Source: RefSeq, a predicted model, not a curated record